AUACGGAGGAUCCAAGCGCUAUCCGGAUUUAUUGGGUUUAAAGGGAGCGUAGAUGGAUGUUUAAGUCAGUUGUGAAAGUUCGGGGCUCAACCCCGUAAUUGCAGUUGAUACUGGAUAUCUUGAGUACAGUUGAGGUAGGCGGAAUUCGUGGUGUAGCGGUGAAAUGCUUAGAUAUCACGAAGAACUCCGAUUGCGAAGGCAGCUUACCAAGCUACAACUGACACUGAAGCACGAAAGCGUGGGGAUC
This 247-nucleotide ribosomal RNA is filed under the name uncultured bacterium. RNAcentral's name for it is "partial 16S ribosomal RNA". It matches the Rfam family "Bacterial small subunit ribosomal RNA", at positions 523 to 769 of the family's 1533-position model. The record is from RNAcentral.